Molecule: ribosomal RNA, 468 nt
Filed under: uncultured bacterium
Lineage: Bacteria
Description: partial 16S ribosomal RNA
Rfam family: Bacterial small subunit ribosomal RNA
Source: RNAcentral
GACGAACGCUGGCGGCGUGCUUAACACAUGCAAGUCGAACGGAAAGGCCCUGCUUUUGUGGGGUGCUCGAGUGGCGAACGGGUGAGUAACACGUGAGUAACCUGCCCUUGACUUUGGGAUAACUUCAGGAAACUGGGGCUAAUACCGGAUAGGAGCUCCUGCUGCAUGGGGGGGGUUGGAAAGUUUCGGCGGUUGGGGAUGGACUCGCGGCUUAUGAGCUUGUUGGUGGGGUAGUUGCUUACCAAGGCUUUGACGGGUAGCCGGCCUGAGAGGGUGACCGGCCACAUUGGGACUGAGAUACGGACCAGACUCCUACGGGCGGCAGCAGUGGGGAAUAUUGCACAAUGGGCGGAAGCCUGAUGCAGCAACGCCGCGUGCGGGAUGACGGCCUUCGGGUUGUAAACCGCUUUCGCCUGUGACGAAGCGUGAGUGACGGUAAUGGGUAAAGAAGCACCGGCUAACUACGUG